This 481-nucleotide ribosomal RNA is filed under the name uncultured bacterium. RNAcentral's name for it is "bacterial SSU rRNA". It matches the Rfam family "Bacterial small subunit ribosomal RNA", at positions 15 to 518 of the family's 1533-position model. The record is from RNAcentral.
GAUCCUGGCUUAGGACGAACGCUGGCGGCGUGCUUCAUACAUGCAAGUCGAACGAGAAGUACCUCGGGUGAUGGAAAGUGGCGGACGGGUGAGUAAUGUGUAGAGAAUCUGCCCUUUAGUGGGGGACAACAGUUGGAAACGACUGCUAAUACCCCAUAUGCGCGUAGCUGAGAUGCUAUUCGUGAAAACUCCGGUGCUAAAGGAUGAGUCUGCAUCUGAUUAGCUAGUUGGCGGUGUAAUGGACCACCAAGGCGACGAUCAGUAGCUGGUUUGAGAGGAUGAUCAGCCACAAUGGGACUGAGACACGGCCCAUACUCCUACGGGAGGCAGCAGUAGGGAAUUUUGCGCAAUGGGGGAAACCCUGACGCAAGCAACGCCACGUGAUUGAAUAAGCCCUUCGGGGUGUAAAGAUCUGUCAGUAGGGACGAAACUUGACGGUACCUACAGAGGAAGCAUCGGCUAACUCCGUGCCAGCAGCUGC